This 273-nucleotide ribosomal RNA is filed under the name uncultured bacterium. Its description in RNAcentral is "partial 16S ribosomal RNA". It matches the Rfam family "Bacterial small subunit ribosomal RNA", at positions 524 to 796 of the family's 1533-position model. The record is from RNAcentral.
UACGGAGGGUGCAAGCGUUGCUCGGAAUCAUUGGGCGUAAAGCGUACGCAGGCUGUUCGUUAAGUCGGGUGUGAAAGCCCGGGGCUCAACCCCGGAACUGCGCCCGAAACUGGCGAGCUUGAGUGCGGGAGAGGGAAGCGGAAUUCCUGGUGUAGAGGUGAAAUUCGUAGAUAUCAGGAGGAACACCGGUGGCGAAAGCGGCUUCCUGGCCCGACACUGACGCUCAUGUACGAAAGCGUGGGGAGCAAACAGGAUUAGAUACCCCAGUAGUCC